Haemorhous mexicanus (house finch) is the source of this 191-nucleotide long non-coding RNA. RefSeq lists it as uncharacterized. The record is from RefSeq and is a predicted model, not a curated record. Lineage: Eukaryota; Metazoa; Chordata; Aves; Passeriformes; Fringillidae. The transcript is spliced from 3 exons.
GUGGGACAGGUGGGACAUGGACAGGUGGGACAUGGACAGAUGAGACAGGUGGGACAGGUGGGACAUGGACAGGUGGGACGUGGACAGGUAGGACAGGUACAGGUGGGACGGGUGUGACACAGUGCCGACCCGGUGUCUCACCUGCCCCUCACCUGUCUCACCUGGGCAGGUGGGCGUGCGGCACGUGGUGG